GAUGAACGCUGGCGGCGUGCUUAACACAUGCAAGUCGAACGAAGCACUCUACUUGAUUUCCUUCGGGAUUGAUUGUUCUGUGACUGAGUGGCGGACGGGUGAGUAACGCGUGGAUAACCUGCCUCACACAGGGGGAUAACAGUUGGAAACGGCUGCUAAUACCGCAUAAGCGCACAGCACCGCAUGGUGCAGUGUGAAAAACUCCGGUGGUGUGAGAUGGAUCCGCGUCUGAUUAGCUGGUUGGCGGGGUAACGGCCCACCAAGGCGACGAUCAGUAGCCGGCCUGAGAGGGCGACCGGCCACAUUGGGACUGAGACACGGCCCAGACUCCUACGGGAGGCAGCAGUGGGGAAUAUUGCACAAUGGGGGAAACCCUGAUGCAGCGACGCCGCGUGAGCGAUGAAGUAUUUCGGUAUGUAAAGCUCUAUCAGCAGGGAAGAUAAUGACGGUAC
This 452-nucleotide ribosomal RNA is filed under the name uncultured bacterium. RNAcentral describes it as "bacterial SSU rRNA". It matches the Rfam family "Bacterial small subunit ribosomal RNA", at positions 28 to 478 of the family's 1533-position model. The record is from RNAcentral.